AUGCUUGUUUUACAAACAAGGCCCAGUUUGAUGACGGAUUUGCGUAUCGUUUAUUUCUUAAGGAUGAUGCAAUCCCAACGAAAAAGGGUCACGAUUGUGUGUUGGAACCACAGGCGGUCAAAGGUUUGGGUGUUAUCUUGGAUAGUACACUAUCCUCACCUCAGUCAUGGUAUUGAGGCUGGAAGAGAGCACUGGUUAUUCACUCCCCCUCCAGGAAAUGUGGCUAUACACUAUAGGUUCAAUCAUACACAUCUCACAUCAGCCAUUUUCAAACACUUCUGGGCUAGAUAUAAAAUUUGCUGUCAGUUUAUGUCCAUGUCGUUUAUCUUGAACUGUGUCACCAUCAGGUCUGAUCAAACUGAUGAAAGAGUCUUUCAUCACCAGUCCGUCCUUCCCUGUUCAGACUGAGGGGAAAUGGGUGCCUGCCUCUUGAUUUAGGUAUGAUGGCAGUGGGAGGACCUGACUGAGUCUCCUAGCUUUCAAGUGGCCAAGGAGGACAACAUCCAUCAUCUAGCACUGAGCUCAGCCGGGGAGUCUCUCCUCCAGCCACUCCAUUCUGUGAUGGAUGAGCAUAUCACAUAGGAUUCUUAUUAUUUCAAAAGAGGGCAAAGGAAAGGCCAGUGAGUUCAAAUACUGAGCGAUCAGUCGCAAUGGUGAAUCAGAGUUUUUAUCUCAGAAUCUAAUCCAUUUAUGGGCUACUUACACAUUCUUGAAGUGGUAGUUGGCUAAGGACAAAUACUAGGCACAGAGGGGAGCAAGAGAAGUACAGUAUUUUUCAGAGAAGAGGAGCAGGAAUAGGGCAAUGCUACCUAUAGCACUGCUGUAGUUAUUUUUUAUUUCUAGUUGAUUUUUAGUCCCUCCUUCUAUUUUAUUUUACACUACGUCUAUGAUUUUUUCUUAUUAAUUUUAAGGUAAUAUAGUUUAUUUUUUUUAUUUUUUUUAUUGAUAAUUAUAUAUAAUUAUAUAUACAACUAUUUUGUGCUGCCAGUUAAGUAUUUUUUGAAUUGUUGAAUUGUAGAAUUAUAUUCUCAGGGCCAUGUUAUGCAUAGUAUUAUUUAGUGGCAUUUUCGUGUUAAAUGAAGGUGGUUUUUUGAUUUGUGCCUGUCUGUGAACGUAAAAAUGUGUAAAAUAAAAUAAUAAAUAAUAAUAACACAUGGAUCACAGAAACCCCAUAUCUGAUGAUCCAUGAAGCCCACUAAUUAGCACCCACAGUAUGUGACAUCAGUAUUAUAAAAAAAAAGACUAUGUGUGCACUAAAUUAGGCUCUUUAUAUUAUUCUUUAGAGUCUCUUUAACAAAACAAAACAAGACAAUCAAAUAUCCUAAUUCAAUUUGUUUGUAAAUAUUGUUCUUAUAUUUCUGACAUAAUGCAAGAGAAAAGAAGCCUUUGUUGUUUUAGUGAUAUGUGGGCCACAGAUCUGAUUUGUAGUCUAGACUUUCUCCUCAUGUCCUCAUAUGUUCUUGAGUGAGAGAGUGAGCAACAGAGAGACAUAGAAAGCGGGUGAUGGAGAGGAUUGAGGAUUUGGGGCAGCACUAUGUCACAGUAGUGAUUCUCAGAGAGCUGUGGCAUUCUAUCGUGCUGCAGUGCUCAGGUAACUCUAUAUACCAAAGACCGGACUAUUCCAUGGUAGUACAAUGUUUAUUUCUUCCAUAUCUCUUUCUUUUUCUUUUUACAUGCACAAGAAGGAAAUAUCUAAAGACAAGUGUAAUUCUGAGCAGCAGCAGUCCUUGUUAACUUGAGUUGUAAGACUAUUUGACCAGAAGACCACUUCUUUUUUGAGGGGGGAGGGGGGGGGGGUAUUUUUUGAUUCUAGUCACCAUCUGCUAUGCCUUCAUAGCCUGAGGAUGCAACUGAUAAAAGGCACCAUCCCAGAUGAAAGAUUCAUGGGCUACUGUACCUGGAUGGGUGAGACAGAAAGAAAGAGAGAAAUAUUCAGAGAAUGAUCCAUGCCCUGAGGUAAAGAUUUGAAUGAUUUAUUUUGCCAGUCUAUUUAGUGGGCUGGAGAAGCCUCAUGGAUUUCUUCAGGUGCUUUGUUGUUUUAUUGUAUGUCUUUGGCUGAUGAAAUUGUAUGUGAUGGAAACCAACAUGUUCAGGACUAACUAACUCCUGAUUUUAAACAUAGAUACACUUUUGAAGUAUUUAUUAUUAUUUUUUAAACAUCUGCUAUUAUGUUAAUUUUAGAAAGCUUAUUCAAAUGUAACAAUUUAAUGGUACUAUGAUUUCAUGCUUUAUUAGUAUUUUUAAGCAUAACCUACUUCUGAAAAUAAUUAAUAAACAAUCAUGAGGUUUUUAAUCUUUUUAUCCAUUCAUCUUUAUUGACAUGCUGUCUGGUUUCCGAGAAUCUCAUUGUAAUGUUUUUAGAUUACUCAGAAAAUUAAUACACUGAAUUUUUUAUUAUUAUUUUUUUACUCCAAUGAGAAAUUUAUAUCAGUCAAGCUCAUUUGAAUAGGAUUCUAAGCUUAACAGCAUCAGUAAAUUAAGCAUCAAAAAUGCAGAGAUUCAAAACGCUGCUGUGUUAAGACCAAAAGUGCUUUUCCUUGUUGUAGCAGGAAGUAUCAGAAACACAGACUUGAAUAAUUCCAGGCAAUGACCAGGGAGCUGUUCCCAUGAGUGAAACAUCAGUUUCACAGCCCUCUUGUUUUGUAAUACAUUGGGUACCUUUUUGAAUUGGAAGGGUGAUUGUGUAGUACAGUAUAUUACUGUACUUCUCAAGGCAAACUGAAUAAAUCAAGGACUGAAAAUGAUUUUCUUUUCUUUUUUUCAAGUUGCUUUAAUUUCAUAAGAGUUUCUAUAUGGAAGGCAAGACAAGUUUUACUGCAAUAUAGAGCAGUCUAGACCCCAAAAAAGGUGAC
Long non-coding RNA from Carassius auratus (goldfish), 2852 nucleotides. Lineage: Eukaryota; Metazoa; Chordata; Actinopteri; Cypriniformes; Cyprinidae. The record is from Ensembl.